This 126-nucleotide small nucleolar RNA is filed under the name Sciurus vulgaris (Eurasian red squirrel). RNAcentral's name for it is "Small nucleolar RNA SNORA40 (ENSSVLG00005017398.1)". It matches the Rfam family "Small nucleolar RNA SNORA40". From Rfam's summary of the family: The snoRNA ACA 40 belongs to the H/ACA family of snoRNAs and guides the pseudouridylation of 28S rRNA subunit at position U4565. NB This family has a high threshold value to exclude a large number of closely related sequences that do not appear to have conserved H and ACA boxes, and may be pseudogenes. Lineage: Eukaryota; Metazoa; Chordata; Mammalia; Rodentia; Sciuridae. The record is from RNAcentral.
UGCGUUUGCAUGUUCAUUGCUUAACUUGUGAACAGACUUAUAAACAGGUAUGAAAAAAAACCCCUCUUUUUGCAAUCUAAAACUCAUCGUUCAGUAUGAGUCUUGAUACAUAUAAGAAAGAAUAUU